GCUAAAACUGAGCUCUUGUCACACAACCAGGAAGGAUUAGGCUCGUAGACACAUAGAAGGGUGAGGAAAAUGAAAGUUAUUCGGGGAAAAGAGAAAAGGGAAAACAAAACAAACAAACAAAAAACAAACAAACAAACAAAAAAACACCUUUCAGCAAGAUGAAAGAGUCCUGCUACCAGGCUUCCCGACUCACAGAUUGAAUCCCAGGUCACCACACAGGAAGAGGAGAGGCCAGGAUCUUCCCCUCUGCAAAUGGCAUGAAGUUCCUGAGGCCGCCCUCCAUCCUCCCAGUACACAGAUCCUGACCUGCCUCACCUGAAGAUGCUGGUCCCUGGUAAAGCAUCAUCUUCAGCAGGAAGUAAGAAUCAAGACUUCGAAGGACCAUGAAAAGAGGAACAUGCAGGACAGUGAAAAGAUUGGCAACGUCAAGGAGACCAUAGCUCAAAAGAUUAACUCAAUCUGUGGAUGGAAAAUGACAACCAGAGGGGCAAUUUCUUCACUCCUAAGAUGCCUUAUUUCAAUCUCAUAACAGCCAUAUCAAGUGACUUGCCUGAAACCCGUAAGUGGCUGAUCUGGGACUAGAAUCUAGUUCUUCCAAUUAUAAGUCCCAUGGUCUUCCCUAUAAAGGCCAGCAGCCAACCUUCUGAAGCAAAAGACAUCUAAAUGAGAAAAAUGGGAAGAUGCUGGAGAAGUCGGUUAUCUUUAUUUUUCCAGGCAGAGAAAAAGACUGAAUGGCAGAUAGAUUUUUUUUCUAGCCUCCUACGCAAACUGGAGGUCAGGUGGUGGGGAACAGGGGUUAAGUCACCUUUGAAAAAUAGCCCCAUCUCAAAAGGCUAUAUAUUCAGUGAUAAACUUAAUAGGCUCUCUAGAAUCUGAAUCAAGAGUCCAAUCUUGUACCCACUGAGAGAAUGUCCAUCUUUAUACAAUUGUCACCCAUGCUCAGCAUCAGCAUUCCCAGUGAUGGGGAGUUUAUCGCAUCCCUAAACCACUAUCCUGGACAGAUCUCAUGGAUAUGAAGUGCUUUCUCACAUUGGUCUUAAACGUGCU
RNAcentral lists this long non-coding RNA (1047 nucleotides) under Homo sapiens (human). RNAcentral describes it as "HSALNT0171418". The record is from RNAcentral. Lineage: Eukaryota; Metazoa; Chordata; Mammalia; Primates; Hominidae.